UACGGAGGGUGCAAGCGUUAUCCGGAUUCACUGGGUUUAAAGGGUGCGUAGGUGGGCAGGUAAGUCAGUGGUGAAAUCUCCGGGCUUAACCCGGAAACUGCCAUUGAUACUAUCUGUCUUGAAUACCGUGGAGGUGAGCGGAAUAUGUCAUGUAGCGGUGAAAUGCUUAGAUAUGACAUAGAACACCAAUUGCGAAGGCAGCUCACUACGGGAUCAUUGACACUGAGGCACGAAAGCGUGGGGAUCAAACAGG
This 253-nucleotide ribosomal RNA is filed under the name uncultured bacterium. RNAcentral describes it as "partial 16S ribosomal RNA". It matches the Rfam family "Bacterial small subunit ribosomal RNA", at positions 524 to 776 of the family's 1533-position model. The record is from RNAcentral.